GACGAACGCUGGCGGCGUGCUUAACACAUGCAAGUCGAACGGAAAGGCCCUGCUUUUGUGGGGUGCUCGAGUGGCGAACGGGUGAGUAACACGUGAGUAACCUGCCCUUGACUUUGGGAUAACUUCAGGAAACUGGGGCUAAUACCGGAUAGGAGCUCCUGCUGCAUGGUGGGGGUUGGAAAGUUUCGGCGGUUGGGGAUGGACUCGCGGCUUAUCAGCUUGUUGGUGGGGUAGUGGCUUACCAAGGCUUUGACGGGUAGCCGGCCUGAGAGGGUGACCGGCCACAUUGGUACUGCGAUACGGCCCAGACUCCUACGGGAGGCAGCAGUGGGGAAUAUUGCACAAUGGGCGGAAGCCUGAUGCAGCAACGCCGCGUGCGUGAUGACGGCCUUCGGGUUGUAAACCGCUUUCGCCUGUGACGAAGCGUGAGUGACGGUAAUGGGUAAAGAAGCACCGGCUAACUACGUG
Molecule: ribosomal RNA, 468 nt
Filed under: uncultured bacterium
Lineage: Bacteria
Description: partial 16S ribosomal RNA
Rfam family: Bacterial small subunit ribosomal RNA
Source: RNAcentral